RNAcentral lists this long non-coding RNA (7211 nucleotides) under Panax ginseng (ginseng). RNAcentral's name for it is "long non-coding RNA (PGIN_LNC014974)". Lineage: Eukaryota; Viridiplantae; Streptophyta; Magnoliopsida; Apiales; Araliaceae. The record is from RNAcentral.
AUUGCGAAAUAAUAAACAUAUAUUAUUCAUUAUAAUAAAGUUUUACAACAAUAUCCCAAGGUCUUCUUAACCUUAACUUAAACACACAUUUAAUAUUACAAAAGAUUUACAUAAAUAAUUCCAUAAGGUAAUAUAAUAAUUAACAUUCAUAUUAAACUAUUCUUGAACUUUGCCCUUGCCUUUAUUCUUCUUAUUCGAUCCCUCGGGCUUAGCUGAAAUAAAUGUCACGAUAUAGCAAGAGUAAGUAACUAAUUUGCUUAGAAACACUACUAGAAAAACAAGAAUACGUGACAGAAUGUUGUGACAGUUUUUAAAAACAAUCACAAAAGAUAGUAAUUUAUGAUGGACUUUUUAAGCAAUCACAAAAUAAUAGUAUAUAUGAUGGCUCUUAGUGAUGACUAAUUUUGCCAAAUGUAUUAUAAUUGUGAUGACCAUGUCAAUCACACUAAUUUUUUCAUGCAAAAUAAAUUUUCUUUUUGUGACGCACUAAGUCAUCACUUAUAGAUAUACCCUUUUUGUGAUUGCAUUUAAGUUAUCACUAAUAUUUUAAUAUAAGAAAUAAUCAAAAUAAUAUUUUAUGACGGUCGGGUACAAUCAUUAAAAAGAUAGAUUUUUGUGACAACUUUUAUUUGCAAUUACAAAAAGAAGGUAUUUUAUGAUGGAAUUUUCAAGCCGUCACAAAAUAAUAAAAUAUAUGAUGGCUCUUAGUGAUGACUAAUUUUACCAUCAUUAUAGAGUAUUUGUGACUGCUAUUGCAAUCACCAACUCUUAUUUAGAAGUAAUUUUGUUUAGUAAGUCAACUCAUAUAUGUUUCCUUUUAUAAUUUGUUUUAAAAUUAUAAUCAUGAUCUGGACUUUGGUGUAGUGGUAAUACUCGUUAUUUAGUUUGCAAAUGGGAGAGGGUUCAAAUCCUACAAGUAUCGUUUGAUACAAUUAAUAUAGUGAAAUAAAUUAUACGUAAAUAGAGAUUCACGUUCUUACAUUUGAUCCCUAAAGUCUUGUUUUUUUGUGAUGACUUUGACAAUCACAAUAGAUUAUAUGUUAAUGUGAUUAUAUUAAUCAUCACUAAAGCACUAAGCGUUUGCGUGAUUGUCAAAACCAUCACGUAAAACCUUUCAUGAUGGGCGUAUACAAGACUGCCAUUGUGAUGCUUAAAGCCAUCACGUAAACCUUUCGUGAUGAUUUUCCUACUUUUUAUGAUGGAUUUUGGCCAUCACAAAUGACCAUUUUUUUAGUAGUGAAAGUUUAGAUACACAAAGGAAAUAUAUCAUGAUUAGAAAUGAAUUUAGCUUUCAAUGUUCAACAAUAGAAUCGAUUGUGAAAGAACAUGAAUUAAGUUUCAAUAAUUGAAUAUUCUAAUAAUUGAAUAAUAGAUGCUGAGUUGUUUGAAAUAACCAUGAACAUAUACUAAGGUUGUCGGUAUACAAUUAUUAAAUAAAUUAAUUAUCCAUAAUAUUAAUUAGUAAUGAAAUUCAUCCCAAAAUAUUAAAAGUCAUUCAAAAUAACUUCAAAUAUUUUCUAACACGUCAAUAUAAUUUCAAACGAUUUUUAAAAUAUUAAAAUCAUUUUUAAGUAAUUUAUUUAAUAUAAUUAUUAAAUAAAUUAAAUAUCAUUAAUAUUUAAAAAUAUUAAAAUAUUAAUGAAAUAUAUCUCAAAUUAUUAAAAAUUAAUUUUUAUGCUUUAAAAUAAUUUUUACAAAUUAAUUAUGAAUUUUUCAUAAUUAUUAUUCAUUUUAUUCUAAUUAUUUAAUUAAAAUAAUUAAUUUUUAUUAAAAUUGUCACUAAAAGGGACUAUAACGACAAAACUGUCGCUAUAAGUGUUUUUGAACCCUCAAGAACAUUCAUACUUAGUGUGCAGGAUGCCUACUUUGACCACUUGCAAAUCCUUGAUCUUAAUGUUUCUGGGCAUGUAAAGGUGUUAGUGAUGUAGUAUUGAUGUAAUAUUACAAGCACAAACAAGUUCCAGGGCCAAACUACAUCAUAUCAGGAAGAUAUAAGGCAUCAAAAAGCUUGUCAGAGCUGUUCUUCAUUUUCUGGGUUACCCAGAAAAUUAAAACAGUUGCAAGGUAUCACUUUUGGAUCUUCAUAACUUGGAUUCUGGUUUACUCAGUGUGUUAAAGUGCCACAACUAUGUAGUAUGUAUGUCAAGGUACAAAAGUAAUACACUUUUGUAGCUUAACAACAUCACAUAUGAAAGAUCUAGGCCAGUCAAAUGCUUGUCAGAAACUGUUUUUGAAGAUUCCUAAAACACAUAUCUAAACAACAAAUCACACCAUUAACAUAAAUCAUAAGGAUCUACAUAGAUUAGGGUUGAUACCUUUUUAAUGCUAAAUCUUUAUUUCUGCCCUCAUGAUUUUGAUCUUGGAGAGUUAAGGGUUGAUAUUGGCUUAACUCUUGACUUACUUCCUCUCCAAUUUCGAAAAUGAAAGAGAGACAAAAAGGUUGGCUAAGUUAAGAAUUAAUAAAGUAAAGGUUUUCUUACUUUAAUCUUUUAAUUCUUUAAUUCAAUGAACUUGUAUGGCAUAGGUGGCAAGACUUAGAUGAUUUGUGAGAUAAAUAGCACAUGACAAUAUUCAAAGUGGUGACCCACCAAGAUUUGGAGAAAUCUUUUACUUAAACAUUAAGAAAAAGGGCAUUUUAGUCAUUUCACACCUACUAAGGGUAUUUUGAUAAUUUCCCCUACAAUUUGAAAGGUAAUUUGGUCUUUUCACAUAUAUCCCAUAACUUUUAACCCUUAUGUCUUUAUACUUAGCUUUUGAGCUUCCAAUCAGCUACAAAAGACUAGGAGACUAUUUAGGUGGGUCGGUAAACAAUCCUUGACCAAAAAAAUGGAAGCUAGAUUAAAUGAAUCAUGCGCACAAACUCCUCCUUACAUUGCUGACCCUAUCCCUCUUCAUUUUCCCAAUUUGUUUAUUUUAUUUAUUGAUUUAUUUGUUAAUUAACCAUCUAGAAGGUCCAUAUAAAUUGGGCCAUAACUUGGGAUGUGGCGCCCCCAAAAUCAGGACAAUAUUUCUCUACCCGACUUGUGCGUUAAUAUUAUCAUGUUCUAGCUUUAAAAGAUUAUUUAAUGUUAAAAUAGCUAAAAAUGCGGAAUAAAUUUUUUCUUUCCUGUCAUUCAUCGUUCCCUGAAUCGCAACCUUUACGAUUCUUCUUUAUACAAAAAUCAUAUUUAUUAUAUGAUUUGUAUAAUCUGAGUAAACGUAUUAAAAACUUAAGUCUCAAUACUUAAUAUCUUUUCUAUCGAUAAUUCACUUAUUUCAUAAUCAUAUUUAUUCUCAUUUCAGAAUAAACAUUCUUUAUACAUUCAACAUUUCAAACUAUACAUGACUGCCAAUUACAUUUGACAAAACUAUCAGUCAUAGAUUUAUACCAUUUCUAAUUUAAGGGAAUGUAUUCAUUUUGCACGUCGUUCAAUCUUCAUCAUCCGUAUAGCAAGUAAUAUUGCCAAACAUUAUUAACCUACAAAAAGUUUGUGUUUACAAGAUUGAGCUCGACAGCCUAACAAAUUUAACAGUCUAUCAUGUUUCACAUAGCACACAAUUUCAUAUGCACUUCAGUUCCUUUACUAUGCAUAUCCACAUGCAACAUAAUUCUUUACUAUGCCUACAUGCAUCAAUAAUUCCUUACAAAGCAUAUAUUCAUGCAUUAUACAUUUCUAAUAUAUCGAGUUACAUCAUACAACAUGUGCUAUCACAUAUCACAUAUAGAUUGAGUUUCAUAACCCAAUUAACUUAGUCAUAUUUUGACUUUAACAAUUCAUAAAGCAUGGUAUGUAACUCACCACAUAAUCACAUUUAAUCCACAAACAUAAUAGAACUGAAAAACUUGUCUUGAGUGCUGUUUAAUGUUAUAAUUUUAUCCGCUUUGUGAUGAUCAUACAUAAAUUGAGGAUACAUACAUGCACAUAUUAGUUCCACAUACUAAAUUCACAUACUCAAUUUAAACUAAUUUAUUUACAAUAUUAACUAUAAUCUUUUGUUCUCGUCUUAAAACUAUUCCACUUUUCUUUAGAAACUUAUGUCCGCUAUAACCCUUUUAUGUCCAAAAAGGUUCCAUCAAGGCUUUAGUAUAUAAAUACAUUACGUUUCGAGUUAUAAAUCCUUUACAACCCGUUUUACGGAUAUUUCUUACCUUCUAUACAUGUACUUGAAUUUACAUAGUUUAUUGAUAGUUUAUUUUGCAUGUACAUAGAUCAUCUAUUGAACCGAAUAGAUUUAUAGCUCUCAUAGCUUUUAUUUCUUCGCAAUAGUCCAUGUGCUAAACCAUUUUGUAACCACGUAUACGGAUGUCUUAUACUUUUAGUUUACAUAACAUAUCCAUAGCUUACUAUUUACUUCCGCGAGUAAAUAGAACUCGUCUUUUCAUAUGUAUAUUAGUUUUAUAUAUAUGUCCUUUAAUGGAUUCUCGACUCCGUUUGUAUAAUCUUUCCUUUGUAUUUAAAAAAAACACUUUUGUUAUCAAAUUUUCCUUUCAAUAUAGCUGUAAAUUCAUACAUAUGUCAUUACGUAAUUCCGUGUUCAAAAUCUUUGUUUCGAACUCCGAAAACCCUUCGUUUUUACAUUCCUAGGUUCAAUAUAAUUUCAAACGGGCUUGCGCAUUUCAUUAUGCUACAUAUACGUUUUACAUAUCAUUUCCUGAAUUACGCUCACAUAGUUAUGAAAACUUACGUCUACAUUACAUUUUUAUUGCUUUCUUUACAUUUAAAAUGAGUUUUCGCAAUAUAUAAAUAUUAUAUAAUAUCUAUACAUCUCUCUCGGUGUUUUGUUACAUGUUAAACAGCCACAAACCACCCAAAAGCAUUGCGGAAAAAUCGAACGCUGAACAGCCCAUCGCUGUUGCUAUCUGCUGCUGCCACAAGGCAGCAGCCCUCACCUUUGACACCCACUUCGCGACUUAAUAACUUGCAAUCUACUUAUCCAAUCGUAAGGUGUUUUUACUUUGUUUCUCAUGCCAUACAAGACUAUUUUUAAGAAAUACUAACCUCUCAUUUCGGGUUUGUUAAGUAGUCUAAACAGCGUGCCAAAAAUUGACGUCCAUAGCAGUUUUCAAUUUUUUUCCAGCUUUACCCUCUCUCGCUAAAACAGUCAUAACUAAUUCGUUUCGCGAUUCUCGAGCUCACGCGAAGCUUACUUCUGUGGCUACAACUUUUAUUCUUUGACCAUUUUCAAAUUCUAAACACAGUAUUCCAGAAAAUUCGUGUAAGAGACUGCUUCGGAUCUGUUUUCCAAAUUUUUGGCAAAUUCGAUUUGACUACUUUGAAAUGUCAUAACUCCUUGCUCCGAAGUCGGAAUUAGUCCGUUCCGGAGUCUAUGGAAAGCUUAUUCAGUGUACUAUACUUUUCCAAAAGCCCAGAAUUUUCUGAAAAAUCUAGCUAUCCCCAAAUAUUUCUUUUAGGGUCAGCAGUCCACUAACUUUUUGGAUUUUGUUUCUUCAAGCCUCAUAAUGGUUAGCGUAACUUUUGAUAUACAAGUUCAAAUGAAUUGAGACUUGUUCCUACUUUGAGACCUUGUUAUAAGGUACAUUUUUCAUCCAAGUUUGGUCUUUAACAACAUUAUUAAGACACCUAACUAAAAGCUCAAAACUCAGUGUUCUUUUACAUAUAUGCAUAUAUUCCGAACUGAUAGUAGUAACUUUUUUCAUAUGCAUGGCUAUAUUAGAUUUAAUAUCACGCAUAUUCUAAAUUAACAUUACUUGUGGUAUAAAAUAAGUAUCAAAUUACAUGCACUAGUGAUACAUAUACAUGUUAAUUAAUCACAUUAUAUAACUCAGUACAUUAUAUGUCAAAAGUAUCAAAGCUUACCAAAUAAUUAAUUAUGUUAUAUGAACAUAAUUCUUAUGUGGUUACCAAUUAAGUUCAUAACAUAAAGAUUUCCAUUACAUUCCCAGCAUACUAAGAAAUAUCAAUAAGAUAUCUAUCAUAUUGUGGUCAAUAUUGACAUAUAGCCCAUGCUCAAAACAGAUCCAAAAUGCCUAUCAAGUCAAGCCCAUGCUAGCUGCUACAGCUCACUUCUAGCAACCCACUUUACCAAUUUCUAGUUUUCAAACCACAUGCCCAAUUUUUCAAUCAAACUUAAACAUGUUAUAGAAGGUAUGUAAUACUAUUUUUAUUUUAUAUAUAUAUAUAGAGAGAGAGAGAGCAAGGAUCAAGAGCAUAAGUCUUAAAUAACAUAAUUCUUUAAAUAGCAUAAUUCCUUAAAACGACGUCGUUUUGGAGUGGCUUAAAAGAGAGUGAUCCCACUUGUUUUUCUUUUAUUUACAAAAAUGCCACUCGCGGUCACUCCAAAACGACGUCGUUUUAAGGAAUUAUGCUAUGUAAGGAAUUAUGUUAUUUAAAACUUAUGCUCUUGAUCCUUGCUCUAUAUAUAUAUAUAUAUAUAUAACCCAGCAAACUUGGACAUUCUAGACAUGUUUAACAGAUGGCCAAAACUGCUCUGUCGAGACAGUUUUUAAACUAAGCACCAGCAGGCCAUUUACUUAAAAAUAGAUUGCCACUUAAAUUAACUUAUAUAAAUCCUUCAAUUCACUUCAUAUAAGAGGCAUGAUCUUGAUCACUUCGUUACCAUAAUUGCUCUCUUCGAGCUUAACAUUCUCUAAUAGACAAUUAAUCAAACAUUCUAUGCGCGUUAGUUUUAAGGGCAGGAUUCAUAGAUGUUUAAAGGUGGUUAAGCCCAAAUUUCUCCACCCUUAUAACUCCAUAUUCAUCUGUACAAAACUUCCUUAGCAAUACCCAAAAAUUUCAAUUCAAUCAACAUAAACAACUGUAACAAUUUUGAACAUAAACCAUCUAAUUUGCUAUGCAUACAAUAAAGGUUCACGAUUUACCUUUUUGCCUCUUGAAUUUGAUUACAUCUUAGCUUGAAAUCAUCAGCUCUAACACCUGUUUGAUGCUUUCAAUUCUUCCUAGCUCAUUUUAUAAUUUUAUCAUCUUCAUAAAUUCGAUGGUUGCAGCUGUGACCAAGAAAUUUUUGGACAAAGGUUUGGGAGAACAUGGGGUUCGGCAAUAUAAAGAGAGAAUAAGGAGGUGUAGAACGAAUGAAAUAUAUAGGUAUGGAAAAUUGAGAAUGUUUUCUUCUAAUCACCCUCUCUAUAUCAAACAUUAUAAAGCUUAGUAUACUGCUAGUUCUUUAUUAGAUAAACACUUCAUGCUUUUUUUUUGCUUAGUCACACCGACUAUGGUCUAAUAAGCCACCUCCUGCUUUCUCUUUAAUAGCAG